Meriones unguiculatus (Mongolian gerbil) is the source of this 347-nucleotide long non-coding RNA. RefSeq lists it as uncharacterized. The record is from RefSeq and is a predicted model, not a curated record. NCBI's taxonomy places the organism in Eukaryota, Metazoa, Chordata, Mammalia, Rodentia, Muridae. The transcript has 3 exons.
AACUAAAUGAAGCAAGAAGACUCAAACGCUGGAUUCAAGUACUAUCAAGAGAGGAAGAAACUGCUUGAGGUGGUAGCUAUGAGGAGUACUUUGCAGUACUUUAUAGCUGACUUUCUAGCGAUUUGAAAUGGAAACCAGUCUGAGGGCAAGAUGGCGGCGCAGGGAGGACUCUCAUUCUGAACAGCAGCACAGCAGGACAGGCACAGUGACCAGCAAGCAGAACUUGCGGCCAUAAAACACAAGUGAUUGUGUUUCUCAGGUGAGAGGAUACCCCACGGUGGGGAAUUCAAUCAGCUUUGACUCACCUGGCUAAACCACGGAAGAGACCCUGGUUCCGCCAGGUGCUU